This 253-nucleotide ribosomal RNA is filed under the name uncultured bacterium. RNAcentral describes it as "partial 16S ribosomal RNA". It matches the Rfam family "Bacterial small subunit ribosomal RNA", at positions 524 to 776 of the family's 1533-position model. The record is from RNAcentral.
UACGUAGGGUCCGAGCGUUGUCCGGAGUUACUGGGCGUAAAGCGCGCGCAGGCGGCGGUGUUGGCCCGGCGUGAAAGCCCCCGGCUCAACCGGGGAGGGUCGUCGGGGACCGCACCGCUUGAGGGCGGUAGGGGCUGGCGGAAUGCCUGGUGUAGUGGUGAAAUGCGUAGAGAUCAGGCGGAACACCCGUGGCGAAGGCGGCCAGCUGGGCCGUCCCUGACGCUGAGGCGCGAAGGCGUGGGGAGCGAACGGG